GACGAACGCUGGCGGCGUGCCUAAUACAUGCAAGUCGAACGAACCGCGACCGAGUGCUUGCACUUGGUCAAGGUGAGUGGCGAACGGGUGAGUAACACGUGGGUAACCUACCUCAUAGUGGGGGAUAACAGUCGGAAACGACUGCUAAUACCGCAUAGGACAUGGAAUCACAUGAUUCUGUGAGGAAAGGUGGCGCAAGCUAUCGCUAAGAGAUGGACCCGCGGUGCAUUAGCUAGUUGGUAGGGUAACGGCCUACCAAGGCGAUGAUGCAUAGCCGACCUGAGAGGGUGAUCGGCCACAUUGGGACUGAGACACGGCCCAAACUCCUACGGGAGGCAGCAGUAGGGAAUCUUCCGCAAUGGACGCAAGUCUGACGGAGCAACGCCGCGUGAGUGAAGAAGGUCUUCGGAUCGUAAAGCUCUGUUGUUAGAGAAGAACAGCGCAUAGAGUAACUUGUUAUGCGUGUGACGGUAUCUAACCAGAAAGCC
RNAcentral lists this ribosomal RNA (488 nucleotides) under Abiotrophia defectiva. RNAcentral's name for it is "bacterial SSU rRNA". It matches the Rfam family "Bacterial small subunit ribosomal RNA", at positions 28 to 492 of the family's 1533-position model. Lineage: Bacteria; Bacillati; Bacillota; Bacilli; Lactobacillales; Aerococcaceae. The record is from RNAcentral.